Molecule: long non-coding RNA, 5732 nt
Organism: Hylaeus volcanicus
Lineage: Eukaryota; Metazoa; Arthropoda; Insecta; Hymenoptera; Colletidae
Exons: 4
Source: RefSeq, a predicted model, not a curated record
AGAGGAGACACGUGGCAGCUCGUUGUUAUCCACAGUCGGCGUAGUAAUGAUUUACCGCGCAUCGACCUCGCGCAUCGCGUGGCCUAGGAAGGGGUCGCCUCUACGCUAGCGGCUCCCGUGCGCGCGUGGUAGUAUGGGUCCGUUCGUUGUGUGGAGUACAUCGUACGACGAAGAGAGUACGGUUCAGUGUGUGAAUGUGUGCGCGCGCGCGCGUGUGUGUGUGUGUGUGACAAAGCGCGGUGGGGUGGAUGCUCCUGUUCAUUUAUCGAGGAGGGCCUGUCGUCAUUUAUCGAGAUUUACAGAUUGCUCGAGGCAAACGUGGCGAUCUACCCCCGGCGUCGAAGUUGGCUCGUCCACCCACCCAUCGAGGAGCCUCCUCUUCAAGAAUCUCCUCGAUGUCAGCACUCCAGGAAGGACUCCAGGCGGGAACAGACGGUCAAGCCGACGGUGGCGCUCCAUUCCAUCCGAUGAAAAUGAAAUCCAAGUGAAAAGAAAGUCUUGUGCAGGCGUGGCCGACGUUCCCAGGCCGGGACGUCGUCAAUAAUUUCGGGAAUCCCUGACUAGACGCGUCAGUUUGUCCAAGAGACUCCCCGAAUGACUAUGCGUCAGAUUCUAUAGUGCCAGAGGGUGUUUCUCCAGGCGAGCGGCAACAAAACGCUCACCCCACGGGAAAUAGUUGACACGAGGCGUCGCAGCCAUCGCGCGAGCAUUGUCGAAUAUUCCAGCAGACGGUAUCGAAUAGGGGGGGGUUCCCUUGCCGAGGCUCCCUCCCGCGCAAAACCCUCUACCGAAACCCGUGGCGAAUUAAUAAUCAACGUUCAAACGUUACCGACACGCGUCUCGGGGAUCACCCGUUCGAGCCCCAUCCGCGUCUUCGCGAAGCACGCCGCCUACUUCGACACGGGAAUUCCCCGCGAAGUAUUUAUUCAUCAGGCUCUGGUACGCCGAACAGCCGGGACAGGAAUUUCAUAAUGCUGGUGUCACACGCGCGUAUCGAUUGAAGGGCCACCCCGUCGACUCGUUCCAGGACUCGUCGGCCUGCGGCAAAAAUGUUGCAGCGAGGUGCGCCGACGGGAAAAGGAUGUCAAAGAAUGAUGAGAUUGAUAGGCAGGGAAUGGCGGGAAUCUCCGAGAGCGACGCUAGUGUUCACGCGCGCUACGACCACGUCGUUCCACCGGAUCGGCCUGGUGCACCAAGAUUCCCGACGCUGGUCCUAAAAUUCCGAAUGACCGUAACUAAGAAGAUAUGCGUUCGCCAUCCACUAGAUAGCAGCCUCAGCGGAAACCGCGAUGCACCGUUUAAAUUGGAGGACACGAGCGAGCACGCUGCUACAAUCUCUAAACCAUGAAACAUGACCAUAAAGGCGACCGCGCGCCGUUUAGCGACCAUUUGAAUAAAUAUACCGGGUACUAAUGUCUCAUCCGCGGAGUCAACGUCGUUCAGGCCGCUCUAACUAGCUGCGCGUAAAGGGAGUCGUACGGGCUGCGAGUCGAGGGAUAGGAUACGUUUCGAUCGCUCAGGAACGAUUGCAAUAACCCAUCCCGUCGUCGUGGCGACGCGCGUUUCGAUUUUAACCUUUGGACCGACGGUUUAACAAAGAAGCGAGCACCCAGCGAACGAACGAGCGUGUACGAGAGAACCGCUUUGGUUCACUCUUUCACCUACACGGGUUCGAUGCACUCGACAGCGCAAUUGCAACGACACGGUGUACACAUCGAUGCAGGUCGACAGUGGCGUAGGAAGGCUCGAUCCUUUCUUUUCUUUUUUUCUACGCGAAAUUAACGGAAUACCUAUAUAUCACUUCAGACGGGCGAACGAAAAAUGAUUGUUUACAUAUGCACGCAUCGUUGCGGAUAAAUUUCGUACGAUCGACAGCGUCAUAUUCGUUCGGAUUUCUUUCGAGUGGUUCGCGGUCUAUCGAUUCCUUUUCGCGGUGUUGUAUUCCUAUCUGGAGGAGAGCCGAGUUUUAUCUGAAUACUUUAAUUUACAAAGGUUAUCUCCCACGAACUUUGACUGUUUCUGGAGAACCGAACAAAAGACGAUAUAGAAGACGAUAUAGCCAGUCAGAUGCAACUAUACUUGUACAAAUUGUCACCAGCACAACUCAGCUAUAACUUGUUCUCGGUAUACACUUUUUUUCCAAGCUUCCAUUACACGUGAAAGUAUCCGCACAUUUUAAAUUAUAUUUUUAACUUUCAAACGCUAAUCUUUCUAUAAAGUAUUUCCAUGAGCGCAAUCUUAAUUUAACUUCCUUAUUCAUGUAUUCCAAAUAUAAAUUUCCAGCGACCUUUUUCCAUUUAAUUAUUCCGAUAUAAUCGCCGGUGGAGGUACGAUAAAAAAAAAAGAGAGAGAGAGAGAAAAAAAAGAAAGAAAUUGCACGCAAAGCAUUAACGCGCGCAGCCAGCGGAAUGAAAAUAUUAUUCGAUAGAAAACGAGGGAGGAACGAGGAACGGGGCACGCUGGUCGAAGGAGUCUCUUGAAGCAGCGUCGUUCGGCGAAGCACCUGGUUGAAAAACAGCGCGCAUUGAAUAAAAAGACAAUCGAUAUCGAUCAAUUCCAGCGGCCCGGUUCCGGGAGUUAUUCGAUUGAGGCAGGCACAGAGCGGCCGUGUCGCGUCGGUUCUCAGCUUUACCCAACCGAUAGGAUCGCUUUUGCCAUUAUAAUGUUUGACGCAUUGAACGACACUUCGCGGUUUCAAGCUCGCCAUCCCGCGGCCAAUUAUACGGAAACACGGUCCGGAGGUAAAAGUACGCGGCAAGUGGCGUGCUUGUCCUCUGUUCGCCAUCUCCUGGCAACGUUUCACGGGUGAGCGACGUCGACGCGUUUCUAUUCGCGGUUUUUCCAAACGGUACUCGGCUUCGCCUUUCCGGGAAAAUUAAUUCUACGUCUUCGAAAACAAUCGCAGGAUACCGCCGCCAACUUUUUCGACGAGGACAUCGUUAAUGAAAUUAUAGGUUUCUUAACGUGCUCCUUCUAUCGCGUAUUUAUAUUUGCGAAUUUCUACUUGGUAAAUUGUGUACACGAAUUUAUAUAAAUGAGUUUAUGAAAAUGUGUUCAUAUAAAUAAGUACGUAAAAAGGAGUAUACAUAAAUGUAUUCGUAAAAAUAGAAUUACAUAAAUGAGUUUAUAAAGGUAUGGUUACAUAAAUUAAUUCAUAAAAAUGAGUUUACAUAAGUGAGUUUAUAAAAAUGUAUUUAUAUAAAUAAGUACAUACAAAAGAAGUAUACAUAAAUGUGUUCAUGAAAAUAUAAUUACAUAAGUGAGUUUAUAAAAAUGUGUUCAUAUAAAUAAGUAGAUAAAAAGGAGUAUACAUAAAUGUAUUCAUAAAAAUAGAAUUACAUAAAUGAGUUUAUAAAAAUAUGUUUACAUAAAUUAAUUUAUAAAAAUGAGUUUACAUAAGUGAGUUUAUAAAAAUGUGUUUAUAUAAAUAAGUGUAUAAAAAAGAAGUAUACAUAAAUGUGUUUAUAAAAAUAAGUAUCUAAAAAAGAGUAUAUAUAAAUUAGUCUAUAAAAAUGAGUUUACAUAAAUGAGUUUAUAUAAACAGAGUACAAAUAAAAGAAUUCAUACAAAUGAGUUAACAUCGCUGGGUUUUUAUUUAUAAAUUAGUAUUUCUCGCUGAAGCUCGUUUGCACUAAUUGUUUAUACCCCGCAGAGGGGAAUGCGCGCACUAAACGAGCCAUCCCCGUCCGAAUAAGGAACAAAGAAAAUUACCUGACGAGGUACCAUUGCGGUAACAGGGCAGAACUUAACAACGAAGAAAAUUCUCCCUACGUUCUCCCUCGGUUAACGUUAUUAUCUAACCGCGUAUGAACGAGGCUUUAAAACUUCUUAUCGCUCGUUUUGUUUGGCGAACUCGCUCCUGGAGAAAAAAAAAGGAAUGGAAGUUACUUUCUUCUCUUGGCGGUUCGCUUUACACCCGUUACGGGGCCGCGCAAAACAACGCGAAGGAAACUGCUCAUAAACGCGACCCCUCGCGGUUAAGUACGUUUUUACGGAGCAGGUCACGCGGUCUCGCUGUGAUACGAAUACAGAGAAAUCGAUCGAGCUGAAUUAAUUAUUUGAGAAAUUUUGAUAUUCGAGCAACCAAUUCACCAUUGUCGAUAACAUUUAUAAACUCCACGAUAUUAAUUUAUUCUUCGUUCUUCAACAAUUAUCUCAUCGCGUUCACCUCCACGGCAAUUUGUCGAAGGCGAAACGAAUUACUUCGCACGAUCGCGCGAACUUCAAACGCUGUCUUCCCUCCUCUUCUUAUUUUUCUUUCGAUAUCUUCUUUUUUAUUCUCGAACACGUUGAAUAUUGUUUAAAAAAAAAAAAAAAGGAGGACCACAGUCAUCCAUCACGGUUCUCAUCAGCCGCUGUUAACUGAUCCACUUCAAAAGGUACACCAAUACAGAAGCCCGAUUGUGCAACUAUGUGCGCCGUUGAAGAGAAGCAAACGAGCGGUCAUGACAAGAUUGAUGUGCAUUUUCGGUGCACCGACGAAUAAUUGAUUUUCGAGUCGACCAGCAAUCUCGAUCAUCCUGCCAGUCGAGAUGGACGUGCCUCCCCGAUCUGCAUCGUAUAUUAUGACACGAAGGGGGGGAGGGAGGGAGGGAGGGAGGGAGGGAGGGAGGAGCGGUGCAGGGAAAAAAAGCGACUUCAUAUUCGCGCUGCAGUUUCCUCGUGUGCGAUUUUUUUACCGCGCUGCGAUUGAUUUUUGGAAUUUUUUCAUGGAUCGAUAAGACAAUGACUAUAAAUUGCCAUCUAGUGUGCUCCAUUUGUGAUUCGACUGAAUAAUAUUAGAUAACGGAACGCGUAACUACGCGAAAUGUUCGGCAGAAACGCGCGAGUUCGGGGAGGGUUUGACGCGCGUCAAAACAAAGCGGAAAAUACGGAUAUUGGACGAACGCGAUCUUCCGUUUCUCGUGAAACAUUAAAUGAGCCGGGAACCGUCAAUUUGGAGAGACCUCCCGUAAUUCGCCCCAUGAAAAUUCCUGGAAAGCGGGAGUUUCUCCCGUGGCAGCGGGCUGACGGGAACCGGGAAUAACCUGAUAAACCGAACUCGAUAUCCCACCGAUCCACGGUUCAAACGCGCGUUACGCCGGGAUAUCCGCGUUGCAUGCCGCGCGCCUCGCUCGCGUGGUCGCCAUUCAUAUUUAAAUUCAAUUUCGUCUAGACGCGCCGGCUCCGAAUAAAGGGCCAGCGAAGUGUCACUGGCCCCGGUGGUGGGGGGAUGGAGGAGAACUUUGACGAACGAAUAACGGUGCGCCAAAGAAUUUCCCCUUUAUGAAUUAAGCAACUCGACGACUUAUCCCCGAGAGCGAGGCAACCGCCUCCGCUUGCUGGAAACUCGUCGAAACGGACCACUGAAUAAUGUGCAUACCGUGUUGCAAAAUGAAGAGACCUGCGAGGGGGAUGCUUUCUUUCUUGGUUUCGAGAAGUCACACUUCGUACUAAAUCAUCAGGACUUUAAUAUGGUAUUAAUAAAAUUUUCAAAAACAAUGACAUUGUAUGUAUACAGCAUCAUGGAAAUUUUCCCUUUACUUCCCCUUCAUUUCCUCUUAGAUUUCCCAUUAACUUCCCCUCGUUUCCAGACACAUUUCCCUUCAAAUUUCCCUCAAUUUCCUGGUUCAUUUCCCUUUAAUUUCCCUUCAUUUUCUGGGAUAUGUUCCUUUAAUUUCCCUUCAUUUCCUAGCACAUUUCCCUUUGAUUUCCUUUCAUUUCCUUGCACAUUUCCCUUUAAUUUCCUUUCA